CGGGGCGGGGGCACGGGGGGCCUACGGGAGGCAGCAGUAGGGAAUAUUGGGCAAUGGUCGCAAGACUGACCCAGCCAUGCCGCGUGCAGGAAGACGGCCCUCUGGGUUGUAAACUGCUUUUAUCUGGGAAGAAAAAGUCCAUGCGUGGAAAAUUGCCGGUACCAGAUGAAUAAGCACCGGCUAACUCCGUGCCAGCAGCCGCGGUAAUACGGAGGGUGCAAGCGUUGUCCGGAUUUAUUGGGUUUAAAGGGUGCGUAGGCGGCUGAAUAAGUCAGCGGUGAAAGACUUCGGCUUAACCGGAGCAGUGCCGUUGAUACUGUUUAGCUUGAGUGUUGGAGGGGUACAUGGAAUUGAUGGUGUAGCGGUGAAAUGCAUAGAUACCAUCAGGAACACCGAUAGCGAAGGCAUUGUACUGGCCAACAACUGACGCUGAGGCACGAAAGUGUGGGGAUCGAACAGGAUUAGAUACCCCUGGUAGUCCACACCGUAAACGAUGAUUACUCGCUGUUAUGGUGUAAGCUGUAGCGGCCAAGCGAAAGCGUUAAGUAUCCCCCUGGA
RNAcentral lists this ribosomal RNA (558 nucleotides) under uncultured Bacteroidota bacterium. RNAcentral's name for it is "bacterial SSU rRNA". It matches the Rfam family "Bacterial small subunit ribosomal RNA", at positions 314 to 877 of the family's 1533-position model. Lineage: Bacteria; Pseudomonadati; Bacteroidota. The record is from RNAcentral.